GAUGAACGCUGGCGGCGUGCCUAAUACAUGCAAGUCGAGCGAACGGACGAGAAGCUUGCUUCUCUGAUGUUAGCGGCGGACGGGCGAGUAACACGUGGAUAACCUACCUAUAAGACUGGGAUAACUUCGGGAAACCGUAGCUAAUACCGGAUAAUAUUUUGAACCGCAUGGUUCAAAAGUGAAAGACGGUCUUGCUGUCACUUAUAGAUGGAUCCGCGCUGCAUUAGCUAGUUGGUAAGGUAACGGCUUACCAAGGCAACGAUGCAUAGCCGACCUGAGAGGGUGAUCGGCCACACUGGAACUGAGACACGGUCCAGACUCCUACGGGAGGCAGCAGUAGGGAAUCUUCCGCAAUGGGCGAAAGCCUGACGGAGCAACGCCGCGUGAGUGAUGAAGGUCUUCGGAUCGUAAAACUCUGUUAUUAGGGAAGAACAUAUGUGCAAGUAACUGUGCACAUCUUGACGGUACCUAAUCAGAAAGCCACGGCUAACUACGUG
RNAcentral lists this ribosomal RNA (497 nucleotides) under uncultured bacterium. Its description in RNAcentral is "partial 16S ribosomal RNA". It matches the Rfam family "Bacterial small subunit ribosomal RNA", at positions 28 to 507 of the family's 1533-position model. The record is from RNAcentral.